AUUGAACGCUGGCGGCAUGCCUUACACAUGCAAGUCGAACGGCAGCACGGGAGCAAUCCUGGUGGCGAGUGGCGAACGGGUGAGUAAAGUAUCGGAACGUGCCCAGUCGUGGGGGAUAACGCAGCGAAAGUUACGCUAAUACCGCAUACGAUCUAUGGAUGAAAGCGGGGGAUCGCAAGACCUCGCGCGAUUGGAGCGGCCGAUAUCAGAUUAGGUAGUUGGUGGGGUAAAGGCUCACCAAGCCGACGAUCUGUAGCUGGUCUGAGAGGACGACCAGCCACGCUGGGACUGAGGCACGGCCCAGACUCCUACGGGAGGCAGCAGUGGGGAAUUUUGGACAAUGGGCGAAAGCCUGAUCCAGCCAUGCCGCGUGCAGGAUGAAGGCCUUCGGGUUGUAAACUGCUUUUGUACGGAACGAAAAGGUUUGGCCUAAUAAGCUGAGCUCAUGACGGUACCGUAAGAAUAAGCACCGGCUAACUACGUGCCAGCCGCCGCGGUAA
RNAcentral lists this ribosomal RNA (500 nucleotides) under uncultured bacterium. Its description in RNAcentral is "partial 16S ribosomal RNA". It matches the Rfam family "Bacterial small subunit ribosomal RNA", at positions 30 to 523 of the family's 1533-position model. The record is from RNAcentral.